UCUCUAACCAUCUCCCACGUGUGCUCUGUCUCUCUCUCUCAAAAAUAAAAAAUAAACAUUAAAAAAAAGCUUUCCUGUAAGCUAUGGUGAGGAGUAAAUAAAUUAGGUGUGGAAAGUGCUCAGGAAGUGCUUACUGGCCUACAGUCAGUGUUUCUUGUAGUGAUUAUCGUACCCCCUUCCUCCACUUCAGCCAGCUGCGCAGUGAGCUCAGGCACAACUAGCACCAGGAUGGGGAUGCCCAGGUCAGAGGUCAGUCCUCUGAGAUCCCAUGAUCCUCUAAGAUUUAGAGAGAAGGCAGUGGAUAUGGAAGGAACUCACUUUGCAGAAAGACAUAUAGAGAUUUCAAUCCAGCCUCUGCUCCUGAUUAAGUAUGCAGUCUUGGACCUGUCGUUUAACACCUCAGUUUUCUCAUCUAUAAAACGCAAAUACCAAUAGCUCCUCUCAGGAUUGUUUUGAAGAUUAAAUAAUGCCUGUAAUGCGUGGAGCACUUGAGUGCAGGAACAUAGCAGUUAUUUAAUAAAUGUUAAUUUCCUUUUUCUUCCCUUCAAAUCGAGCAUUACUCUCGCGGGCAUAGGGGCAAUUGCAGAAUGGAAGCCAAGGAGCUGUGCUUUCUCUUCGGCAUUUCCUACAAUGUGCCUUUGGCCCCCAUCACAGGCCCCUUCUUACUCAUCUUCUUAAUUCCGUUCUUACAGGACCCAGUCAGCUGCAAUUUUGAAUCUCCUUUCUAUUUUCUCUACAUGACCUUUUAAAAAUAUGAGCCUCCUUGAGAGUUCCCCAGGGUCUGAUUUUUCUGGGUUUUCUCCCAUGUUACUCCUGUUUGGGACCAUUGCUGGUUACACAAGCAGAAUUUUGGUUCUGAGGGCCUCCUUCUAAAGCCUGUAAUCCGUGAAAUCACGGUUUUCUUUCCCAUCCACUUUUCGAAAUCUGUCUACUAAAGCCUGGGCUUUGGGUAUACCUGGCCUGUCUUUCUCUAACAGGCCCUGUGAGACCAUAUGGACAUUUUCCCCAAGAUUCCCUGCAUUUCACCAGUUCUUCAUGGUUGAUGGGAACUGAUAAGCCCAGAAUAGCAAAGGGUCUUUUUUUAACUAUAGCUCCCCCACCAUGUAUCAAGCCCUGUCACAGCACUAGAAAUCAGUAGAGAGAAAAGGCCCAUGCCUAUAUAGAUAAUAUAUUUUAGCUGCAGAUACAGACAUCAAGAGAACCAAAUAAGGAUUAAUAUGAUUUUUAGACACUUAAAAAUCCUUGCAGAAAAAUAAGACAGGUAGGUGAUAGAACAUGUAGGGAUGGAAGGGAGUGGAUUGGAGGAGUGGAUGAGAUGGUCAGGGAGAGCCUUAUCUGAGGUUGUGAGAGUUAACAGAAACUGACCCGAGAGAGUGAGUCCUGCAAAGAUUAGGAGAUCUUUGAGGUGGGAAGUACAAUUGCAAAGGCCCAAGGGCUGAGGAAAAAGUGUAUUUUAGUCAGAGCCCGUGGAAUCCUAGAAGAACCAUGAAUGGCUAUUGGGGACCUGGGCAAAGGGUGUCUGUGUUUGCAUGUGUGCAUGUGUGUGUGUGUGUGUGAAUGCAUUUUUUUAGGGGAAAAGACCUGUAGGUUUCAUUAGACUCUCUGAGAUCUCUGAGCUGUACGAAGGGUAAUGACCAUGGCAACCUUCCUUCCAGCCAUCAGGGGAGGGAACUGUUAGCUCCACAAGUCGCCGAGCAUCCUGCUUUGACUGGAGUGGAAGCCUUCCCUUUGGCAUCUGGACAGCCAGGACCCUCCCUAUGCAGUUUACCUCCCUACCAAUCCUGCCCUCUGGGCCAGAAAGAGCCUCCCUCUUGAUCCAUUGGGUCAGAGCACCAAUGGCAGAUUAGAGAUCCAGCUCUCACCUCCAUUCUUCUCCCCCUUAGCCUCACCAAGUGCUUGCACCCUUGGAUGAGGGGGUGCCAGGCAGGAGUUAACCCUUCCUGCCCCAGCAGCGCUGUUCACGCAAACUCAAGUCCCCCGCGAAUCUUCGUGAUACCCAUGGGAUCACCCUGUGCCUGGCUUCCAGCCUGGAGUCAGCUUUGCUUGUAGCUCCUGCUGUCAAGACUGCUGCCUAGACUUCUGAGGAGUGAAGUUCUGUCUUCAGCUCCCAGAUCCACAGUUUCCUCAUCUGACUCAUGCUCCCUCCCACACGUGCUUUCUCUCUCCACCAUCCGCACUGUUCUCCAUAGCAACUGGUUCACAGAUGGAUUUCUUCUCUGCUGUGCCUAAUCCCUAAGCAAACUCCCUCUUCCCUACCCUCUUCACAAAAUGUCGCCUGCUUGAUUCAGCUUUUGUGGAUUCCAGGCCAGUAUCAAGAAAGCCAGACACCGCUUGUGAACACCAUUGGCGGAUCCAGCUGAUAUCCUGCCAGUUCUUUGCUCUUUCGAAGUCAGUGGGAAAAAAGCAAUAAAAGUACCACUCAGCCAUCUGACCUCCUCAGUGUCCCGGCAGACUUUAAAGAUGUGUCUCUCUUUCUAUGUGGGGUUGUUCAGCCCCAGGUGGUUAACAGCAGAGGGAAGUGGCCACAGCUGGGUGAGGCUCAGAUGCACCCCAGGAAAGUGACACCUCUCUCGCCAGGCUGUGUCCCCACAGCAGUAAGCAGCGAUGUCCUCCUUGUACCCACUAGUGCUCUGGAAUUUGUAGUCAGUCGACAUUUGAAUCGGGAUUAAGGUCAACAUACUAUGCUUAUAGAGCUGGCUUUCCCAUCACAUUUACCCAGAGUUCUGGAACUUCUUUUCCCCCCCACAUGGCUUGUUUCUUCGCUCAGAGUUUGGUUCCCUCUGUUCAGAUCAGCUUCUACUCUCUCCAUCCUUCCUUUCUUCUCCUUUUCUUUAUGUCAUUGUCUCUACUCUAUAGGGGGACACCUGCUCAGAAGCUGAUUUUUAGAUUCCUUCCCCUUCCCCCCAAGUGUAGUGACCACUUACACUUGCCAUGCAUCCAGCUGGGUGUUGCUUCAGGCAGGAAGACUCAAAGCUCUGAGGUUCCUCAAGGUGCCUCCUUGCCUUUCUGCUAGUCACUGGGUCCCAGUCUGCCCAUCUCAUGGGAUCAUUGUGAAGGUUAAAUGAGAUAGUGUAGAUGAAGUGCCCAGCCCGUAGUAGGUGCUCAGACAGGCUAAAUCCCUUCUUUCUGCUUCCCCUGGAUCCAUCUCCCCCAUUUAUGGUAGACACACUCACUUCACUCUGCCCAGGCUUUCCUCUGUAGUUCUCUCGGCCAGGUGGCACUGUGAGCCAAUCACAGAGGCACAGAAACCCCAUGUGUACCCAGGGUUCUUCCUGUGGGACCUUGCCAGACCCACGUUGGCAGGGACUGAAUCUUAUCUGAGGAUGGGUAUCUGGUAUUGUGUCCUCCAUGGUUUUGUUGAAUGAGUCAAUGAAUGAUUCAAAACAGAUGACAAAAAGCCCAGAUUCUGAGACUAACCCAGGCUGUUGCUAUAGGGCUGAUUUAAUGUGCUGCGUUCUCUCCAGAAGACUGGGUACCAUGUCAGGUCCUGCUUGGGGGCCAGGCUGGCCAUGCACCUGGGUGACCCAUGAGUUGUUUCCAUGGUGAAGAUCAGGUCUGGCUGCUUUAACUCUGAAUUAUCUGGGAGACUGAGGAACCUAUUACAUGCCAGGCGUAGUCAGGGAGUGGUCAGGACAGGCUUGAGUGAUCCUGGCAGAGAAUCAGACCCAGUCUCUGCACCUUCCCUAGUAAUGGCUAUCCGUGUCCUACUGGCUCAAGCAAUGGUGCUGGCCCCUGUUAGAGCCCUAAGACAGGCCUGAUUGAGGCUUGGAGCCAGAUGAAGAACACAUAACCUUUAUGGGGGGGAAAGCAAAAUCAAAACCUCACUUACGUGGGUUUCUAGAAUGGGGCAAUUCUUUUUGCUACUACAGUACAUUUUUUAAGUUUUUUUUUUGUUUUUGUUUUUGAGGGAUUUUUUUUGUUUGUUUUUUGUUUUUCAUUUUUUUGUUUUUUUUUGCCCCUCCCGGCAGAGAGAGAGGAUUAGAGAGAAUCCUAUGCCAACUCCAGUCCCGGUUGGGGGGGUGGGGGGCAACACGGGGCUCGAUCCCACAACCAUGAGAUCACCACCUGAGCCAAAAUCAAGAGCCAGAUGCUCAACUGACUGAGCCACCCAGGCGCCCCACAUUUUUUAAUUAACAAAUGGAUGAAAGGCACUUCCUGACAUUUCAGCUCAUCUUUCAGAGACUUCUAGCGGGGAGGACUCCAAAUAAAGCUUCCUUAUGACUUCCUAAUACUUUACGGCCCUUGCAGUCUUCCCACCACACACAUAUCCAGCAUCCUCCCCCCUCAUUCAGUCUGCACCCCACAUUCUGCGUAGCCCACUCUCAGCAGGCCUGCCACUUCCCAGACACGUCAUGAGUGUUCAUGCCUCUCGGCCUUUAUGCAUGCUGUGUUUUUCUACCUGGGACGCUUUUUUCUGUCUCCUUUACCUUCCUAGCAAAGCCCCCUCAUCCAUCCAUUUGAGACAAACUCAAAUAUCCUCCUGUAAAGCUUAUGCCAUCCUGUACUAUAUUAUCACAGCACCAUUUAGAACAUAUUUCAAUGCACUAAAAUGAUCUGCUUAAUUAUUUCCUCCCACUCCAUUGUGAGAGUCUUCAGGACGGAACCCUGACUUACUCCAUAUGCCCAGCUCUGAGCACCGGUCCUGCCACAUGCUGAGUUCUCAGGGAAAAUCUGCCAGUCGAACACAUGAAUGAAGGAAGCACAAAUGGGGACACGGAGUGCAGAAGAGCAAUGUUUUCAAUCUCGAGGGCAUGUUGAUCAGGGAGGUGCUAUUCAGCCGACCAACAACCCUCCCCUAAUGGCCAGGCUCUGGCUGGACUCUGGAUACAAAGAUGAGGAAGACCCUAUCUCCUUCCUCAAGGAGCUCAUAGCCAGCCUUUCCUCUAGUUGGAGAGCUGCAGAUCAAGG
This is a long non-coding RNA of Felis catus (domestic cat), 4908 nucleotides long. RefSeq lists it as uncharacterized. The record is from RefSeq and is a predicted model, not a curated record. Lineage: Eukaryota; Metazoa; Chordata; Mammalia; Carnivora; Felidae. The transcript has 3 exons.